Molecule: long non-coding RNA, 680 nt
Filed under: Brassica rapa (field mustard)
Lineage: Eukaryota; Viridiplantae; Streptophyta; Magnoliopsida; Brassicales; Brassicaceae
Description: long non-coding RNA (BRAP_LNC007888)
Source: RNAcentral
AUGUUUUAUUUAAUAUAUGAUUCAAAUAUAUGCACAUUUGCAACGUUACACAUACCACCCUUAUGUAGUUAUUUUCUCUCCGUGUGACGAAUUGGUUUAGCUCCGGUUAUUGGAUAUGAAUGGUUCAAUUGCAAAGCAUGCAUAUGGUAUUAAAUGACCGGUAUUUAGUGACAGUAUGAAUAUUCUUUUUGGAAGCGGUGGUAUGAAUAUUCUUCUCAUCUUCCACAGUGCAUCUGUUGAGAGUCUUCAAUGCUCUCAUUUAUGAAACUACAAUUUAAGCCAUGAUGCACUUUUAGCUAAAUUGAUCAACAAAAAAAAGUUGAGAGUCUUCAAUGCAUCUGUUGAGAGUCUUCAUUGCUCUCGUUGAUCAAAAAAAAAAAAUUGAUCAAAAAAAAAGCCAUGAUGCAUUAGUAAUGACAAAGUCUAUAAGAGUACUUCUAAACGGAGAUUUUAAGCUAAAUUUCUCUGACACAAAAAAUAAAAAAAUUAAGAAAAAUAGGAAAGAGAAAUUGAAAAAAUUCCAAAACGCACAUCUGCAAGGACCGAAUGAGAAGAAGUACACUCCACCUGUCUAUAAGUUAUUGGUCAAUUGUUCUUUUUUUUGAAAUUUUAAAUACAUAACGAAUUUAAAUUAAAAAUAUUUAUACUUUAUUAAUAAAAACCUUUCAUUAGUAACGUCA